AUUGAACGCUGGCGGCAUGCUUUACACAUGCAAGUCGAACGGUAACAGGCCUUCGGGCGCUGACGAGUGGCGAACGGGUGAGUAACGCAUCGGAACGUGCCCAGUCGUGGGGGAUAACUGCUCGAAAGAGCAGCUAAUACCGCAUACGAUCUGCGGAUGAAAGCGGGGGACCUUCGGGCCUCGCGCGAUUGGAGCGGCCGAUGUCAGAUUAGGUAGUUGGUGGGGUAAAGGCUCACCAAGCCAACGAUCUGUAGCUGGUCUGAGAGGACGACCAGCCACACUGGGACUGAGACACGGGCCCAGACUCCUACGGGGAGGCAGCAGUGGGGAAUUUUGGACAAUGGGCGCAAGCCUGAUCCAGCAAUGCCGCGUGCAGGAGAAGGCCUUCGGGUUGUAAAACUCUUUUAGCAGGGAAAAAAUGAUGGUACCUGCAGAAAAAGUCU
RNAcentral lists this ribosomal RNA (443 nucleotides) under uncultured bacterium. Its description in RNAcentral is "bacterial SSU rRNA". It matches the Rfam family "Bacterial small subunit ribosomal RNA", at positions 30 to 493 of the family's 1533-position model. The record is from RNAcentral.